Molecule: long non-coding RNA, 493 nt
Organism: Jatropha curcas
Lineage: Eukaryota; Viridiplantae; Streptophyta; Magnoliopsida; Malpighiales; Euphorbiaceae
Source: RefSeq, a predicted model, not a curated record
CAAUUUUAGAGAUGUGGUUAUUCUUAGAAAGGUCCUGAGAUUUGCAGAUGGAACUGUGGGGAAGAAAGAGAGAUAGUGCAGGUGACAUGUUUGUUAAAAUGUUGCUUUGGUUCUUAUGAAGUGAAAAGUUGGUUGGGUCUAGAGAUCAACGCUUAUGUACAAAAUUUAUGGGCCCGAGUUCUCCUUUGAGAAGUCUUUUAUGUUCAUGACAUGGAAAGAGAGGAAAACACAGAACUUAUCUUCUCCUCAGCACAAUUUGAAGACCAUACACUUGGAAGUAAAAGAAAUGGAUAAUUUGCCAAUUGGAUUUGGGUUUUGAUUAGGUUCUAAAGCACAUUCCGAAACGGUGCCACGUUGAAAUAUUAUUUCGUGGUUAUCGAUGCAACUAAUACUGUUUUUCUAUUUUUUAUCAUUCGUACGUUAUAAGAUACAUUCGAAUCAUUGAACUCUAAAUUAAGAUGAUUAUAAAUAAAUGGAUUGACCUGAGUUUAAA